Molecule: ribosomal RNA, 591 nt
Filed under: uncultured eukaryote
Lineage: Eukaryota
Description: bacterial SSU rRNA
Rfam family: Eukaryotic small subunit ribosomal RNA
Source: RNAcentral
CCCGCUCCAAUAGCGUAUAUUAAAGUUGUUGCAGUUAAAACGCUCGUAGUCUGAAGGGAUGGUGCUGUUCYUGGGGGUCUGAGAAGGCUUUUGGGGAUGGGAUUGUUUUUGGGAUGCUUUUUGGGUGUCCCGGAUUACUUUGAGGAAAUUAGAGUGUUCAAAGCAGGCGUAACUCGCCUCCGAAUACGUUAGCAUGGGAUARUGGAAUACGACUUCGGUCUUGUUUCGUUGGUUUCGCUUGGCUGAAGUAAUGAUUGAUAGGGACAGUUGGGGGCAUUAGUAUUUAGUUGUCAGAGGUGAAAUUCUAGGAUUUACUAAAGACUGACCAAUGCGAAAGCAUUUGCCAAGGAUGUUUUCAUUAAUCAAGAACGAAAGUAGGGGGAUCGAAGACGAUCAGAUACCGUCGUAGUCUCUACCGUAAACUAUGCCGACCAGGGAUCCGGAGAGUUUGCAUGGAUGACUCCCCGGGCACCUUGUGAGAAAUCAUAAGUGUUUGGGUUUUGGGGGGAGUAUGGUCGCAAGGCUGAAACUUAAAGGAAUUGACGGAAGGGCACCACCAGGAGUGGAACCUGCGGCUUAAUUCGACUCAAC